GACGAACGCUGGCGGCGUGCUUAACACAUGCAAGUCGAACGGAAAGGCCCUGCUUUUGUGGGGUGCUCGAGUGGCGAACGGGUGAGUAACACGUGAGUAACCUGCCCUUGACUUUGGGAUAACUUCAGGAAACUGGGGCUAAUACCGGAUAGGAGCUCCUGCUGCAUGGUGGGGGUUGGACAGUUUCGGCGGUUGGGGAUGGACUCGCGGCUUAUCAGCUUGUUGGUGGGGUAGUGGCUUACCAAGGCUUUGACGGGUAGCCGGCCUGAGAGGGUGACCGGGCACAGUGGGACUGGGAUACGGCCCAGACGGCUACGGGAGGCAGGGGUGGAAAAUAGUGCACGAUAGGCGGAAGCCUGAUGCAGCAACGCCGCGUGCGGGAUGACGGCCUGCGGGUUGUAAACCGCUUUCGCCUGUGACGAAGCGUGAGUGACGGUAAUGGGUAAAGAAGCACCGGCUAACUACGU
RNAcentral lists this ribosomal RNA (467 nucleotides) under uncultured bacterium. Its description in RNAcentral is "partial 16S ribosomal RNA". It matches the Rfam family "Bacterial small subunit ribosomal RNA", at positions 28 to 506 of the family's 1533-position model. The record is from RNAcentral.